GGAGGAGUGGCCGAGUGGUUGAAGGCACCGGUCUUGAAAACCGGCAGGCGGGAAACCGUCUCGUGGGUUCGAAUCCCACCUCCUCCGCCA
RNAcentral lists this transfer RNA (90 nucleotides) under Flavimaribacter sediminis. Its description in RNAcentral is "tRNA-Ser". It matches the Rfam family "tRNA". Rfam says of the family: Transfer RNA (tRNA) molecules are approximately 80 nucleotides in length. Their secondary structure includes four short double-helical elements and three loops (D, anti-codon, and T loops). The record is from RNAcentral. Lineage: Bacteria; Pseudomonadati; Pseudomonadota; Alphaproteobacteria; Hyphomicrobiales; Rhizobiaceae.